GACGAACGCUGGCGGCGUGCUUAACACAUGCAAGUCGAACGGAAAGGCCCUGCUUUUGUUGGUUGCUCGAUUGGCGAACGGGUGAGUAACACGUGAGUAACCUGCCCUUGACUUUGGGAUAACUUCAGGAAACUGGGGCUCAUAUCGGAUAGGAUCUCCUGCUGCAUGUUGGGGGUUGGAAAGUUUCGGCGGUUGUGUAUGGACUGGCGGCUUAUCAGCUUGUUUGUGGGGUAGUGGCUUACCAAGGCUUUGACGGGUAGCCGGCCUGAGAGGGUGACCGGCCACAUUGGGACUGAGAUACGGACCAGAAUCCUACGGGAGGCAGCAGGGGGGAGUAUUGCACAAUGGGCGGAAGCCUGAUGCAGCAACGCCGCGUGCGGGAUGACGGCCUUCGGGUUGUAAACCGCUUUCGCCUGUGACGAAGCGUGAGUGACGGUAAUGGGUAAAGAAGCACCGGCUAACUACGUG
Molecule: ribosomal RNA, 468 nt
Filed under: uncultured bacterium
Lineage: Bacteria
Description: partial 16S ribosomal RNA
Rfam family: Bacterial small subunit ribosomal RNA
Source: RNAcentral